Molecule: long non-coding RNA, 317 nt
Filed under: Carica papaya (papaya)
Lineage: Eukaryota; Viridiplantae; Streptophyta; Magnoliopsida; Brassicales; Caricaceae
Description: long non-coding RNA (CPAP_LNC014334)
Source: RNAcentral
ACCCAUCCACUUUUGAUCUGGACCAUCCAUCGCUUUUAAUCUGGAUCGUCUGAUCGCGUUUAAAUAGGGAGUGAAUUUGGGUCGUUCAUCGAUAUUCAAUUUGGGUCGUCCGUGCGCAUGGGAACAGACCUUAGCCGUUCGAUCGUGCGCAUGCGAAUCGCCCACGUGGCCUCCCGCAUCAGCGUCUCUGCCACUUGGCGCGUCCUGGUUGGUCGAGGCUGCUGACCGGACAUUUGACGUGGUGUAAUUUUUCUAAAUUGCGUUUUGACUCUGGUUUUCGAUUUUUCUUUCAAAAAUACCCCCAGAACCCAAAAUUU